ACCCAACUAACGAAUCGCAAAUAGGACGAAACGCGCUUCCUGGAU
This 45-nucleotide non-coding RNA is filed under the name Schistosoma margrebowiei. Lineage: Eukaryota; Metazoa; Platyhelminthes; Trematoda; Strigeidida; Schistosomatidae. The record is from RNAcentral.